This 651-nucleotide ribosomal RNA is filed under the name uncultured bacterium. Its description in RNAcentral is "bacterial SSU rRNA". The stretch from base 1 to 545 matches the Rfam family "Bacterial small subunit ribosomal RNA", at positions 338 to 873 of the family's 1533-position model. The record is from RNAcentral.
CCUACGGGAGGCAGCAGUAAGGAAUAUUGGACAAUGGACGCAAGUCUGAUCCAGCCAUGCCGCGUGAAGGAUUAAGGCCCUCUGGGUUGUAAACUUCUUUUAUAGGGGACGAAAAAAGGGCUUUCUAGCUCGACUGACGGUACCCUAUGAAUAAGCACCGGCUAACUCCGUGCCAGCAGCCGCGGUAAUACGGAGGGUGCAAGCGUUAUCCGGAUUCACUGGGUUUAAAGGGUGCGUAGGCGGGUAGGUAAGUCAGUGGUGAAAUCUUCGAGCUCAACUCGGAAACUGCCAUUGAUACUAUUUAUCUUGAAUAUUGUGGAGGUGAGCGGAAUAUGUCAUGUAGCGGUGAAAUGCUUAGAUAUGACAUAGAACACCAAUUGCGUAGGCAGCUCGCUACACAUAUAUUGACGCUGAGGCACGAAAGCGUGGGGAAUCAAACAGGAUUAGAUACCCUGGUAGUCCACGCCCUAAACUAUGAUUACUCGACAUUAUGNGAUACACUAGUAUGUGUGUGAGAGAAGACGAGUUAAGUUAAGUUACCUACCGUUACGGUUAAGGUAACGGUUAACCGACCGUAAGGUUAGGUUAACGUUAAAGGUAAGUUAGGUUACGGACGUUGAGACGAGACGACGGACGACGACGAGGAGGAGG